AAGAGACAGCAGCAGCCGCGGGAAUACGUAGGGUGCAAGCGUUGUCCGGAAUUAUUGGGCGUAAAGAGCUCGUAGGCGGUUUGUCGCGUCUGCUGUGAAAUCCCGAGGCUCAACCUCGGGCUUGCAGUGGGUACGGGCAGACUAGAGUGCGGUAGGGGAGAUUGGAAUUCCUGGUGUAGCGGUGGAAUGCGCAGAUAUCAGGAGGAACACCGAUGGCGAAGGCAGAUCUCUGGGCCGUAACUGACGCUGAGGAGCGAAAGCGUGGGGAGCGAACAGGAUUAGAUACCCCCGUAGUCCCUGUCUCUUAUAC
This 310-nucleotide ribosomal RNA is filed under the name uncultured bacterium. RNAcentral describes it as "partial 16S ribosomal RNA". It matches the Rfam family "Bacterial small subunit ribosomal RNA", at positions 503 to 807 of the family's 1533-position model. The record is from RNAcentral.